Molecule: ribosomal RNA, 846 nt
Filed under: uncultured bacterium
Lineage: Bacteria
Description: bacterial SSU rRNA
Rfam family: Bacterial small subunit ribosomal RNA
Source: RNAcentral
UGCAAGUCGAACGGUAACAGGUCUUCGGAUGCUGACGAGUGGCGAACGGGUGAGUAAUACAUCGGAACGUGCCCGAUCGUGGGGGAUAACGGAGCGAAAGCUUUGCUAAUACCGCAUACGAUCUACGGAUGAAAGCAGGGGACCGCAAGGCCUUGCGCGGACGGAGCGGCCGAUGGCAKAUUAGGUAGUUGGUGGGAUAAAAGCUUASCAAGCCGACGAUCUGUAGCUGGUCUGARAGGACGACCAGCCACACUGGGACUGAGACACGGCCCASACUCCUACGGGAGGCAGCAGUGGGGAAUUUUGGACRAUGGGCGAARGCCUGAUCCAGCCAUGCCGCGUGCAGGAUGAAGGCCUUCGGGUUGUAAACUGCUUUUGUACGGAACGAAAAGACUCCUUCUAAUAAAGGGGGUCCAUGACGGUACCGUARGAAUAAGCACCGGCUAACUACGUGCCAGCAGCCGCGGUAAUACGUAGGGUGCAAGCGUUAAUCGGAAUUACUGGGCGUAAAGCGUGCGCAGGCGGUUAUAUAAGACAGAUGUGAAAUCCCCGGGCUCAACCUGGGAACUGCAUUUGUGACUGUAUAGCUAGAGUACGGCAGAGGGGGAUGGAAUUCCGCGUGUAGCARUGAAAUGCGUAGAUAUGCGGAGGAACACCGAUGGCGAAGGCRAUCCCCUGGGCCUGUACUGACGCUCAUGCACGAAAGYGUGGGGAGCAAACAGGAYUAGAUACCCUGGUAGUCCACGCCCURAACGAUGUCAACUGGUUGUUGGGAAUUCACUUUCUCARUAACGAAGCUAACGCGUGAAGUUGACCGCCUGGGGAGUACGGCCGCAAGGUUGAAAM